UGGGGAAUCUUCCGCAAUGUGCGAAAGCCUGACGGAGCAACGCCGCGUGAGUGAAGACGGCCUUCGGGUUGUAAAACUCUGUGAGUCGGGACGAAAGAUAAGCAGACGAAUAAUCUGCAUAAGUGACGGUACCGAAAAAGCAAGCCACGUCUAACUACGUCCCAGCAGCCGCGGUCAUACGUCGGUGGAAAGCGUUGUCCGGAAUGUUUGGGCUUAAAGCUCGCGCAGGUUGUUUAGAAAGUCUGAUGUGAAAGCACACGGCUCAACCGUGGAUGGUGAGUGGAAACGAAUAUAACGGAGUGCAGGAGAGAAAAUUGGAAUUCCUAGUGUAGCGGUGAAAUGCGUAGAGAUUAGGAAGAACACCGGUAGCUAAAGCGGCUUUUUGGCAUGCAACUGAAACUGAGGCGCGAAAGCGUGGGGAGCAAACAGG
RNAcentral lists this ribosomal RNA (430 nucleotides) under Verrucomicrobiota bacterium. RNAcentral describes it as "Verrucomicrobia bacterium partial 16S ribosomal RNA". It matches the Rfam family "Bacterial small subunit ribosomal RNA", at positions 355 to 776 of the family's 1533-position model. The record is from RNAcentral. Lineage: Bacteria; Pseudomonadati; Verrucomicrobiota.